UAAGGUAGAGUUUCUUUAGUUCUUUAACUCAUUCUUGACUAUUGUAUAAAUUAUUAAUAUCAUUCAACAUUUGAUGUCAUCUCUGACACAAGAAAACUAAGAAUCUUCAAAGGAGAAGAAGUUUUCAUGUGAAAAUUCAUAUACCUGGAAUAUGAAGGAGAGUGUUUUGCCACAAGGAGCUGAGAGUGUUUAGCCGUAAGGAGUUGAGAAACUGAUAGUAAUGCAUUAGACUACUUACAGGAGCUUUACUCUUCCAUAUGGACUUCUAUGGCCAAAGAUCUGGCUGGGUAGUACCAUUAGAGUGAGUUGUAGGAACACUUGACCGAAAAUACCCCAUCACCUUACUCUGCUA
This is a long non-coding RNA of Lycium ferocissimum, 352 nucleotides long. RefSeq lists it as uncharacterized. Lineage: Eukaryota; Viridiplantae; Streptophyta; Magnoliopsida; Solanales; Solanaceae. The record is from RefSeq and is a predicted model, not a curated record. The transcript has 2 exons.